RNAcentral lists this signal recognition particle RNA (306 nucleotides) under Manihot esculenta (cassava). RNAcentral's name for it is "Plant signal recognition particle RNA". It matches the Rfam family "Plant signal recognition particle RNA". Lineage: Eukaryota; Viridiplantae; Streptophyta; Magnoliopsida; Malpighiales; Euphorbiaceae. The record is from Rfam by way of RNAcentral.
GCCGAGCCAGGUGACGUGGGCUUGUAACCCUAGUGGGGGCAUUAAAGUGGUAGGACGUUAUUCCUUCUCAAAUGACUAGUCUCAGGUUAGCUAAAUUUCUGGCUCGCCCGUUCCAAGCCUGGAGUUGAAUCAAGCUAUUCGAGCGAAAGCUUGAGUUGCUUGGCUCCUAGAGUGGAGGAUAACGCGUGAGGCUGGCUUCACAGAGCAGCGACUACCUCCCUCUUUCGGCAGUGGAAGGAUAACGAGUCGGUGUCACCCGGGUCCACAUUGUCAGAUGGGCUGUUCUCUAACUGGACCACCACUUUU